GUACUUCACAGGAUAGAGUUUCCAAUGCUAUAGUGAGUGAGAAUGAUGAGAGUGACCUACUUGUCUUGCUUCCAGUUUUGCUGGACCCAUCUUGAAAGUGCUUUUUCUGAAAGUCAGUGAACCCCGGCUUGUUUCAUGUGUCAGGAGAUAGCAUCUUUUCUCCAACAGGCUUUGAAGAGAUGCUCCCUGUAGACCCAACAGAGCAGCAGCCCACUGGUUCCUACAGCUGGAUGAUGCCACCUGCUCAGGCCAGGGUCUCAGGGUUCCUCACUGGCCCCUUCCAAUAGCCACAUCCUUCCCAGAAAGAGAGGGGCCUGUCAGCCCUGGGGUCCUCUGUCCAGAGCUGGGGCUCUUCCUUCUGCCCAGGCACUGGGAACUGGGAUGCUGGGAUUCCAACCCAGAAGCUUGAAGCCCACUCUCUGGCCCAUCUUCCCAACAUCCACUGCCCUGGCCUUGUGCUAGCCCUCAAACCCAAGGGCAAGAGGCAGCUUACCUGGAGGGUGUGGCCAGGAGUCCAGCCAGCCUCACUUGCCUUCCCAGGGCUGUAUCUGUGAAUGAAGAAUAGAAGUAUUUCUGUUUAGCAGACUGCCAGCUUGAUGGGUCACUCUAAAGACUUCAUGUGUGGCAAGCAGCCCCUCCCUGAGCCCCUGCCUGGAGCUGUGAAGGCCAGGAGCAGGCCUGUCUACACCUCCUCCCUGGGCUGACUGGUGGGCCCAGCCUCCAGUGCAAAUGGAUUUUCUUCUCCUAGGAGUCUGAAGGGACAGGGAAUCAUUUUAGGAUCUGUGAGUAUAAAACUGAGUGAGGAAGUAGUUAAAUGACAGCUGGGCCCACCCUUCCCUGCUUCUCCAUCACUCACUUGGAGGACACCCUUUGUAAGAAGGUAGACUAUUGCAUGCGCGCACAUGAGCGCGCGCAUGUGUGUGUGUGUGUGUGUGUGUGUGUGUACAUGUGAACAGCUCGUCCCACCUCAGCCAGGAGCCAAAUGCUCACAUGCACAUGCUGACAAGAUCUCCUUUAGGACUUGAAGUUUCUAGAUCCCUCUAGAAAUCCUCAUGCAGCCUCAGGCUCAGAUUCCAGCUUCUCAGAGGGUCCCAACCAAGCACAACACAGUAAGCAUCAGGGAAAUUACUCAGUCAUGUUCAGCAGCCUCCCUGAACUCCACUGUCCCUACAACCAUUGCUACCACCCUACUGAAACUGGAGAUUAGGUGUGGCCAGCUAGCUGGGCAAGUGGGCUGACCUGUCAAUCACAGGAACACAUGUGCUCAAGCCCUGCACCUGGGACCAAUCAGAGAAUGCUAUCUUCAAUUCUUCAAGCAGGUUUUUGAUAGGAUGGCUUAGAUCUG
Molecule: non-coding RNA, 1345 nt
Organism: Heterocephalus glaber (naked mole-rat)
Lineage: Eukaryota; Metazoa; Chordata; Mammalia; Rodentia; Bathyergidae
Source: RefSeq, a predicted model, not a curated record